GCAUAUCAAUAAGCGGAGGAAAAGAAACUAACAAGGAUUCCCCCUAGUAACUGCGAGUGAAGCGGGAAAAGCUCAAAUUUAAAAUCUGGCGGUCUUAUGGCCGUCCGAGUUGUAAUCUGGAGAAGUGUUUUCCGCGUCGGACCGUGUACAAGUCUCCUGGAACGGAGCGUCAUAGAGGGUGAGAAUCCCGUCCAUGACACGGACCGCCGAUGCUUUGUGAUACACUCUCGAAGAGUCGAGUUGUUUGGGAAUGCAGCUCAAAAUGGGUGGUAAAUUCCAUCUAAAGCUAAAUAUUGGCGAGAGACCGAUAGCGAACAAGUACCGUGAGGGAAAGAUGAAAAGCACUUUGGAAAGAGAGUUAAACAGUACGUGAAAUUGUUGAAAGGGAAACGCUUGAAGUCAGUCGCGUCUUUCAGAACUCAGCCUUGCUUCGGCCUGGUGUACUUUCUGUUAGACGGGUCAACGUCAAUUUCGAUCGGCGGAGAAAGGUUGAGGGAAUGUAGCGUUGUUUCGGCGACGUGUUAUAGCCCUCUUCUGUAUACGUCGGCUGGGAUUGAGGACCGCAGCGCGCCUUUAUGGCCAGGGGUUCGCCCCAUGUACCGCGCUUAGGAUGUUGGCAUAAUGGCUUUAAGCGACCCGUCUUGAAACACGGACCAAGGAGUCUAACAUGCUUGCGAGUAUUCGGGUGGAAAACCCUUGUGCGUAAUGAAAGUAAAAGUUGGGAGCCUCCGCGAGGGGGUGCACCGACGCCCGGCCCAGACGUUUUCUGACGGUGCUGCGGUAGAGCAAGUAUGUUGGGACCCGAAAGAUGGUGAACUAUGCCUGAAUAGGGUGAAGCCAGAGGAAACUCUGGUGGAGGCUCGUAGCGAUUCUGACGUGCAAAUCGAUCGUCAAAUUUGGGUAUAGGGGCGAAAGACUAAUCGAAACCAUCUAGUAGCUGGGUUCUGCGA
This 950-nucleotide ribosomal RNA is filed under the name Porodaedalea pini. RNAcentral describes it as "LSU rRNA". It matches the Rfam family "Eukaryotic large subunit ribosomal RNA", at positions 38 to 963 of the family's 3401-position model. Lineage: Eukaryota; Fungi; Basidiomycota; Agaricomycetes; Hymenochaetales; Hymenochaetaceae. The record is from RNAcentral.